This 253-nucleotide ribosomal RNA is filed under the name uncultured bacterium. RNAcentral's name for it is "partial 16S ribosomal RNA". It matches the Rfam family "Bacterial small subunit ribosomal RNA", at positions 524 to 776 of the family's 1533-position model. The record is from RNAcentral.
UACAGAGGGUGCAAGCGUUAAUCGGAAUUACUGGGCGUAAAGCGUGCGUAGUCGGUUAUCUAAGUCGGAUGUGAAAUCCCCGGGCUCAACCUGGGAAUUGCAUUCGAUACUGGAUAGCUAGAGUUCGGCAGAGGGAAGUGGAAUUUCCGGUGUAGCGGUGAAAUGCGUAGAUAUCGGAAGGAACAUCAGUGGCGAAAGCGGCAUCCUGGACCGAUACUGACGCUGAGGAGCGAAAGCCAGGGGAGCAAACGGG